CUACGGGGUGCAGCAGUGAGGAAUAUUGCACAAUGGGGGGAACCCUGAUGCAGCAACGCCGCGUGGAGGAUGACGCAUUUCGGUGUGUAAACUCCUUUUAUAUGUCAAGAAAAUGACGGUAGCAUAUGAAUAAGCACCGGCUAACUCCGUGCCAGCAGCCGCGGUAAUACGGAGGGUGCAAGCGUUACUCGGAAUCACUGGGCGUAAAGGACGCGUAGGCGGGUUGGAAAGUCAGGUGUGAAAUCCUACAGCUUAACUGUAGAACUGCCAUUGAAACUUCUAAUCUAGAGUAUGGGAGGGGGAGAUGGAAUUAGUGGUGUAGGGGUAAAAUCCGUAGAUAUCACUAGGAAUACCUAAAGCGAAGGCGAUCUCCUGGAACAUUACUGACGCUAAGGCGUGAAAGCGUGGGGAGCAAACAGGAUUAGAUACCCGGGUAGUC
Molecule: ribosomal RNA, 439 nt
Filed under: uncultured bacterium
Lineage: Bacteria
Description: partial 16S ribosomal RNA
Rfam family: Bacterial small subunit ribosomal RNA
Source: RNAcentral